This 494-nucleotide ribosomal RNA is filed under the name uncultured bacterium. RNAcentral describes it as "bacterial SSU rRNA". It matches the Rfam family "Bacterial small subunit ribosomal RNA", at positions 8 to 526 of the family's 1533-position model. The record is from RNAcentral.
AGAGUUUGAUCAUGGCUCAGGACGAACGCUUGCGGCGUGCCUAAGAAAUGCAAGUCGAACGGUGUCAGCAAUGGCACAGUGGCGAACGGUCGCGUAACACGUAGGCAACCUGCCCCGGAGUGGGGGACAACAGCCCGAAAGGGCUGCUAAUACCGCAUGUGGUCCAGUAUAGGCAUCUAUUCUGGUCCAAAGGAUUUAUUCGCUCCGGGAUGGGCUUGCGGCCUAUCAGCUAGUAGGAGAGGUAACGGCUCACCUAGGCGACGACGGGUAGGGGACCUGAGAGGGUGACCCCCCACACUGGGACUGAGACACGGCCCAGACUCCUACGGGAGGCAGCAGUGAGGAAUAUUGCUCAAUGGGCGCAAGCCUGAAGCAGCGACGCCGCGUGGGCGAUGAAGGUUUUCGGAUCGUAAAGCCCUUUUCCUGGUGACGAGCAAGGACGGUAACCAGGGAAUAAGUGUCGGCUAACUACGUGCCAGCAGCCGCGGUAAUAC